RNAcentral lists this ribosomal RNA (502 nucleotides) under uncultured Glomeromycotina. Its description in RNAcentral is "partial small subunit ribosomal RNA". It matches the Rfam family "Eukaryotic small subunit ribosomal RNA", at positions 591 to 1092 of the family's 1831-position model. The record is from RNAcentral. Lineage: Eukaryota; Fungi; Glomeromycota.
CCAAUAGCGUAUAUUAAAGUUGUUGCAGUUAAAAAGCUCGUAGUUGAACUUCGGGAUUCACCCAUUGGUCAGGCUUAAUUGUCUGCACUGGUGAGAUGAGUCUCUACCUUCUGAGGAACUUUCAUGCCAUUUAUUUGGUGUGGUUGGAAAUCAGGACUGUUACUUUGAAAAAAUUAGAGUGUUUAAAGCAGGCUAACGUCUGAAUACAUUAGCAUGGAAUAAUGAAAUAGGACGGACUGAUUCUAUUUCGUUGGUUUCUAGGAUCACCGUAAUGAUUAAUAGGGAUAGUUGGGGGCAUUAGUAUUCAAUUGUCAGAGGUGAAAUUCUUGGAUUUAUUGAAGACUAACUACUGCGAAAGCAUUUGCCAAGGAUGUUUUCAUUAAUCAAGAACGAAAGUUAGGGGAUCGAAGACGAUCAGAUACCGUCGUAGUCUUAACCAUAAACUAUGCCGACUAGGGAUCGGAUGAUGUUGAUUUUUUAAUGACUCAUUCGGCACCUUACG